CCCUAAUUCCAGAACCCUUAACACUACGCAUACGGUGGCCUCUCCCUUCUCUCUUUCGUCUAUGUUGCUUCGUCCACUACGCUUUCACACUUCAGCAUCGCUGCCUCCAACGAAACUGAAGGUUCCAAGCCACACACGCGCUUUCUUCCCCAUAGUCGCUUCCUCACGUCAUGGAACCACGUUUUGCCGACGUUGUUUCUCCAUAGUCGCUGCCCCUGGCCUGUGCGAUGACCUCCGAUCCUCUUUCUCUCCGACGACAAUCUUCUCCAAUGAUAUCUCAUCCAGCGACGACCUCCUUCGGCGACAUCUCUUUCAGCCGCGAUCUCCUUCGGUGACGUCUCCUUCAGCUUCCUCUCCUUGUCGUCCUAACUAUAUGUCUUCUCCGCGAAAAUCUUUAACGCCUCCCUUUCGUUCUGGAUAUGGCAGCCGCAACAUCAUUCUAUCAUAUGUGCUACUGUGCUGUGAAAUUCUCCGAUGGCAUUCUCCUACGUCGGGAAUUUCGUCCAUCGAGCUACUGUGCUGUGAGAUUCUCUUUCGGCAGACUCACGAGGUAGGUUCUCCCUCUUUUCCUUUGUUCUCUUGGUUUGCACUUGAUCUGUGAUUUGAUUUUGCUGAAUUCAAAUGCUCAUAUGUGAUUAUUGCAUCUGAAACUUGAUCUACUCCUUUUUUAUUUUAUGGUUUUGAUUUUCAUUCUUUAAUCCUCUUCAAGGUUGGAAUUAAUUUUGUUUGUAGCCCCAUUCUUGUGUUCCAUUGUUGAAUUUCAGUAAUUGGUGGUGUAUAUUUAGUGUAUAUUUCACUAGGUCUCGCAGCUGGUCAUAUGUCGAAAGACCCGGUCUUCUCCUACUAGGUGCCUUGUUGAUUGCUCAGCUGUGAUGAUAUCAAAAGAUGCUGCUCUCAUGCUUUGAACAAACUUCAGGAUCAUUAUGGUUGGAAGACCAAUCCAUUUGAUUUAUUUGAGACUUUUUUGGGCUAAGUAUGGGUGGCUUUUGUCGUGGCAUGGAUUCUACUGGAUUUGGAACAUGUCGAAGUACUGUUACUAAGGGUCAAGACAUCCAGUAUGAUUUCUCCUUGACAUUUUCUGAGGCAAUUUUCGAAAUAGAGAAAGAAUUUGACCUUUCUCAUUUGGAAACAUGUGAAGUCUGUAGUGGUACUGGAGCAAAGAUUGGCUCUAAAAUGAAAAUAUGUUCAACUUGUGAUGGGAGGGGUCAGGUGAUGAGGACUGAACAAACACCUUUUGGAUUGUUCUCAUAGUAUUAGGUUUCAGUUUGCUCGACCUAUGGAGGUGAUGGUGAAAUCAUAUCUGAAUACAGGGUGCAACAGUGAGGAAUGCAGGGCCAUACAUAGAGAGACUGAAGUUGAAUCAAGAAAGAGAGAAAUUGGCAAGUAAGGUUAUGGAAAAAAUGUCUGAAAUAAUUAUCUAAUCUAUUGUCAUUCUACAACUCAAUGGGCCAAAUUUGCAAUGAAGUUUUGAAAAUUAAGAUUCCCAGGCUUGAAAUUGUCAAUGAAAAUGAGUGUGUACCCAUGAUUUUGUUGACCAUGGUUGGUGUAAAUGUAUUAAGUUAGGUGUGUACUUUUAAAUGUAAAUUAGGUGACGUGCUCUUUAUUUUUUUGGUUGGGUUUUGAUGUGUAGAGAAAAUUAAAUGAUGAGAACCAAUGUAUAAUAUUUAGAUAAAUUUGGAAUAAAAAAAGUAAUCAAAAUAGAGUUUAUUUUCUA
This is a non-coding RNA of Arachis ipaensis, 1714 nucleotides long. The record is from RefSeq and is a predicted model, not a curated record. NCBI's taxonomy places the organism in Eukaryota, Viridiplantae, Streptophyta, Magnoliopsida, Fabales, Fabaceae.